GACUGACUUAUUUAUAUAUUUAAUCGGAUCUUAAUGAACAUACCUACAAUCUACAUGCCCGACAACCAGCAGGCAUAACCUACUGAAGAGGAAUAACGGACAAAAUUGGAUUAGUAAAUAUAGCAUAAACAAUAACAAAUAAAAUUAUGUCAAGAUGCCAGGACUGACAUCUACACAAGUAGUUGUCUGGAUGUUCAUGAAAUCUGUUGCAGCAGGAGAUAUGUAGCCCUUUGGAUAUGUUCAAUGUGUCGGAGAAUCACAGUGUGACCACUAUGCAACCUAUAUAAGAAUGUGUAGAAGCAGGAAUAUUCAUCUUUCACACUUUACACUCAAUUUAAAAACAACAAUACUUACUCUCACACAGACUAACUAUUGUUUUACUUACUUGAAAGUGCAAAUAAAAAAUACAAUUAUUAAGUAUUAUUUAAAAAAAUAGACAGGACAAGACCUUCACAUGUGCAAAAAGUGAUACAAUAAGCAUGCUCUCUCGCAUUAUCACAUACAGCAACUAUGGAAUAAACAUAUGUUUAUAGGGAAUUUGGUUAGUGUUUGUAUGAAUACAUCAGACCUAUGUUAUUUAAUCGAAGAAUUACUUUGGUAUUUCUUUGAUUAGGUAAUA
Molecule: long non-coding RNA, 619 nt
Organism: Achroia grisella
Lineage: Eukaryota; Metazoa; Arthropoda; Insecta; Lepidoptera; Pyralidae
Exons: 3
Source: RefSeq, a predicted model, not a curated record